GAUGAAGAACGCAGCGAAAUGCGAUAAGUAGUGUGAAUUGCAGAAUUCAGUGAAUCAUCGAAUCUUUGAGCGCACAUUGCGCCCCUUGGUAUCCCGAGGGGCAUGCCUGUUCGAGCGUCAUUUCACCACUCAAGCCUGGCUUGGUGUUGGGCGACGUCCCCUUUGGGGACGCGCCUCGAAACGCUCGGCGGCGUGGCACCGGCUUUAAGCGUAGCAGAAUCUUUCGCUUUGGAAGUCGGGGCCCCGUCUGCCGGAAGACCUACUCGCAAGGUUGACCUCGGAUCAGGCAGGGAUACCCGCUGAACUUAAGCAUAUCAAUAAGCGGAGGA
This 329-nucleotide unclassified non-coding RNA is filed under the name soil metagenome. RNAcentral describes it as "partial contains 5.8S ribosomal RNA, internal transcribed spacer 2, and large subunit ribosomal RNA". The stretch from base 1 to 120 matches the Rfam family "5.8S ribosomal RNA", at positions 35 to 154 of the family's 154-position model. The record is from RNAcentral.